UACGGAAGGCAGCAGCGGGGAAUAUUGCACAAUGGGCGAAAGCCUGAUGCAGCUAUGCCGCGUGUAUGAAGAAGGCCUUAGGGUUGUAAAGUACUUUCAUCGGGGAGGAAAAACAAAACUAAUAAUUUUAUUUCUUGACGUUACCCGAAAAAGAAGCACCGGCUAACUCCGUGCCAGCAGCCGCGGUAAUACGGAGGGUGCUAGCGUUAAUCAGAAUUACUGGGCGUAAAGAGCACGUAGGUGGUUUUUUUAAGUCAGAUGUGAAAUCCCUGGGCUUAACCUAGGAACUGCAUUUUGAAACUGAAAUACUAGAGUAUCGUAGAGGGAGGUAGAAUUCUAGGUGUAGCGGUGAAAUGCGUAGAUAUCUGGAGGAAUACCUGUGGCGAAAGCGGCCUCCUAAACGAAUACUGACACUGAGGUGCGAAAGCGUGGGGAGCGAAACAGGGAUUAGAUACC
Molecule: ribosomal RNA, 456 nt
Filed under: uncultured bacterium
Lineage: Bacteria
Description: bacterial SSU rRNA
Rfam family: Bacterial small subunit ribosomal RNA
Source: RNAcentral